AUGAUGAUUUCAAAGAUGCUUGCCGAAUUCAGAACCUUGGACAACGAUGCGGUGCAAGUUUUCAAGGAAGCUUACCGCGAGGCUUGUAAGUUCGCAUCUCAAGUGGUUCACCCAACGCUAUCCGAGCCAGUGCUACCCUCUCAGUCGGUGUUGUGUCCUCGGCCAAACAUCAUCACCCUCAACAAGACUCUUUUCCGGAUCCACAAGCAACAUAUGCUUGGAUCAAUUUUAGCCACACCCCCAGUAGCUGAACCCCAACCCAUAGUGAUCUCAGAUGAUGAAGAUGGAGAUUGGCUCAGUCUUUGUCCUCCCGGAGAGCCCCAGCAAGGCAAGUCCUCUGCAUGA
This 345-nucleotide ribosomal RNA is filed under the name Triticum aestivum (bread wheat). RNAcentral describes it as "partial small subunit ribosomal RNA". The record is from RNAcentral. Lineage: Eukaryota; Viridiplantae; Streptophyta; Magnoliopsida; Poales; Poaceae.